Long non-coding RNA from Ostrea edulis (European flat oyster), 405 nucleotides. RefSeq lists it as uncharacterized. The record is from RefSeq and is a predicted model, not a curated record. The transcript is spliced from 2 exons. NCBI's taxonomy places the organism in Eukaryota, Metazoa, Mollusca, Bivalvia, Ostreida, Ostreidae.
AUAAUUUUUUGGCAGGUAGGUGCACUAUCAAACUUCCGUUAUAUAAGCCGUCUCCUGCAAAGAACGAUAACUCGUGCGUAGGGGCAAUAACCUUUACCGUAUUUCCGGUUGCAAGAACGUCGAGCCCUACUUUCGCUAUAGCCGCGCGCUAUUCUCUCGAGCCCUCUACAGACAAGAAAAUGUCGUGUGAGUCGUAGUCUACAUGCUGUACAAAUUUCAGGAGGAUGAAUGUUCACAGAGUCACUGUCAAUGUCAAUAUAAUAAAGGGAGGUGAUUGCAGCUUUGAAGUUUUCUUUGGGAUGAGACUUGGAAUUAAUGGGAAUUUUCACUCCACAGAGCCUACACAUACACUUUAACUUUAAUUCAUGCUCCAUUUCUGUAGAAAAAAUAAAGUUUUGAAUAGAU